UGUUUUUCCAGGUGUCUACGAGGACAAAACCAUUCUCUCUGCCCAGCCAAAUGCUGUGGUCCCUUUAGGAGAAAAUAUGACCCUUUAUUGUCACUUGCCAAACACCUGUGACACAUUUCUUCUGCCUAAAAAAGAAAACGUAACCUUAUUUGUAACAUGAAUCUUAGAGGGUCUUAUUAAUAAAAAACUCAGGAGCCAGAUAUUGGGGUGAACGCUGAAAGAUCAGAGAAGCAGAACAAGCCACAGCUGACCUCACCUCAUCAACUCCUCAGCUGAUCCUGUUUCCUCAAACUGGAAGCCUCUGAGUCCUCAUCUAAAUGGAUCUCAGCUGAACUGCUGCUAAAAGCCUAAAAGUUUAAAAAGCUUCUAGUUUCUAUUCUUCAUGCCUUAUAUACCCUUCUGCUUCCUGCCAUCACCUUCUGGGAUUAAAGGCGCGUGUCUUUCUCAAGCAAAGACAUGAGAUCUCAAGUGCUGGGAUUAAAGGCCCACGUGGGGACCUACAGAUGCUUUGGUUCUGUCAAUAGUUCAAGUGGUCGGAUCCCAGUGACCUCCUGGAGGUGAUUGUUGCAGGAGUGUACGAAAAGCCACAGCUUCCAGCUCUGAUCACCUGCUCUGUGACAUCCAUAAGAAGACCAUCCUGCAAUGUCAAUCAGAGAUCGGAUGUGAUAUGUUUUUUCUGUCCCAGGAGGCCAACACAAACUUUACCCAAUGUCUGGAAUCCUACUACAGACUCAGGCUCUUUCAGGCCAACCUUACCAGGGGCUCUGAGUGGAAGGCCCUCAGGAACACCUACAAAUGCUGCAGCCCCUAAGCUCCUUUCCUUUCCUAUGGUCAGACCCUAGAGAGCCCCUGACAUUACAAGAAGAAAGGUGAGGAGUGAAGAUGUUCUUUGUAGGAUCUUGGACGCCCCAUCUAUCAUCUUACAUCCAUCAGUGUCCCUGGUGAUGAAGGGAUGACCCAGAUUCUAUGGGGACAGAGAAAGAAGUACAAUGUGGGGUGCAUAUCAAGGGAUAUCAGUCCUUCAUGGUGGGAAGAGAUUACUAUGUUCAUGAGUCAAGACAAGACCUUCAAGCCCUACUCUAGUAGCCUGUCUGUCAGCUAGGACCUGUCUGUCAGCAUCUUAAGAGUUCUACAACCUCUCACACAAGCACACCAGUUGGGAACCAAGUGUUCAAAUGUAUGAGCCUAUGCUGGGCAUAUCACAUUCAGACCAUAAUAGGGACAGUCUUAGUUAGAUCUGUCAGCUUAACACAGCUUAGCAUUAUCCAAGAAACGAAUUCUAAUAGAAGGGUUGCCCGGAUCAGGUCAGCCUAUAGGCAUGUCUGUGAGGGAUUGUCUUGAUUAAUUGAUGUGGAAGGAUUCAGCCCACUAUGGGUGGUACCAUUCCCUGGACAGGGGCUCUUGGGAUGUAUAAUAAAUCUGAAUAAGCAUGAGCUCACAAGCCAGCAAGCAUAAUUUCUUGUUCCCUUUAGUGAUGGACUACAAUGUGGAAGUGUAAGCCAAGCAAACCAUUUCCUUCCCAACUUGCUUUUGGUUAUGAUGUUUCAUUGCAGCAAUAGAAACCUUAACUAAGGCAGUCUAGCUUCUUCCCAGGAGUUCUCUUUCAUAGAGACUGUAUUUGAUGUCACUGAACUGGAAACUUGUGCGUUAUAUUCACCUCACCAUAAAUUACAUGAAAGAGGAAGCGUUGAUACACAUCUCAUGUGAAGAGCACUUUGCUGCUCAUUCAGAAAACCUGAAUUCAGUUCUAGGCACUCAUAACUGCCUGUUGCUCCAGAUACCUUCUUCUAGUUUCUGCUCAACAUACACACAAAAUAAAAAGAACACUAAAGAGCUCUCUUAGGGAAAUUUAAAUAUACAGUAUAGUAUUGUCAGCUCUUUGGACUUGGCUGGGUAGUUAGAUGGCCACAGGAAUGUCUCUGCAUUGCAUCUGUGUACUACAGAAGUGUUUGUCCUCUGCACCUUCCCUGGUCCUCUCUCUCAUCCUCCACAUUUUCAGAUAUGGUGUCUUCCUGCGCUCUACCCAGAAUAGUCUGUGUGGUGGAUUCCACAUUUGCCUUCCAUGCUGACCAGCUGCAUCUCAUUAUAGCGUCCUCCGUAAGUUUCCUACAUCAAAUAUACAGACACCAGGGGGCAGCAUCACAUGUGAGCAUGUCUUUGUGGCUGAAAGUCAGAAGAGGAAGUGUAAGAGAGGAACUUCUGGUCAUCCCUAGAAAUGUAUUGGCGAACUGAGAGGGCAGAGCCAGGUCUCACGCAAAGAGAAGCUCCUUCUUGUUUUGCAAUGGAUGUCACCAUCUUUAUGGGGGUUCUGGACUCCAGUCUGCUCCAUCCCAUGGGUGUGUCCCCUGCACAGACUGUGUCACCC
Long non-coding RNA from Peromyscus californicus insignis, 2365 nucleotides. RefSeq lists it as uncharacterized. NCBI's taxonomy places the organism in Eukaryota, Metazoa, Chordata, Mammalia, Rodentia, Cricetidae. The record is from RefSeq and is a predicted model, not a curated record. The transcript is spliced from 3 exons.